RNAcentral lists this ribosomal RNA (909 nucleotides) under Macaca fascicularis (crab-eating macaque). RNAcentral's name for it is "partial 16S ribosomal RNA". The stretch from base 154 to 909 matches the Rfam family "Bacterial large subunit ribosomal RNA", at positions 569 to 1898 of the family's 2925-position model. The record is from RNAcentral. Lineage: Eukaryota; Metazoa; Chordata; Mammalia; Primates; Cercopithecidae.
GCCAAUACUAGCCCCAAGCAUAACCAACACUAAUACCAAGCCAACAUACACUAAACCAUUCACCUACAUAAAGUAUAGGCGAUAGAAAUUUUAAUCUGGCGCUAUAGACAUAGUACCGUAAGGGAAAGAUAGAAAACCACCCAAGCACAAAACAGCAAGGACUAACUCCUGUACCUUUCGCAUAAUGAAUUAGCUAGAAACAAUUUCACAAAGAGGACUACAAGCCAAAUCCCCCGAAACCAGACGAGCUACCCAAAGACAGCUAAAAGAGCGCACCCAUCUAUGUGGCAAAAUAGUGGGAAGAUUUCUGGGUAGAGGUGACAAGCCUACCGAGCCUGGUGAUAGCUGGUUAUCCAAGACAGAAUCUUAGUUCAACCUUAAGCUUACCUAUAGAACUACCUAAUCCCCCUGUAAGCUUAACUGCUAGUCUAAAGAGGGACAGCUCUUUAGACACUAGGAAAAAACCUUACGGAGAGAGUAAAACCCUCAAUCACCAUAGUUGGCUUAAAAGCAGCCACCAAUUAAGAAAGCGUUCAAGCUCAACACUAACCACCACAAAAAUACCAAACACAUAACUGAACUCCUCACACCACAUUGGAUUAAUCUAUCACCAUAUAGAAGCAAUAAUGCUAGUAUAAGUAACAUGAAUAUUUUCUCCACUGCAUAAGCCUAAAUCAGACCGAAAGCCUCACUGAUAUCUAACAGCCAGGCAUAGCAAGCACAAACAAGCCCAUGCCACCUUCACUGUUAACCCAACACAGGCAUGCCUCAAGGAAAGGUUAAAAAAAGUAAAAGGAACUCGGCAAACUCAAACCCCGCCUGUUUACCAAAAACAUCACCUCUAGCAUUACUAGUAUUAGAGGCACUGCCUGCCCAGUGACACACGUUUAACGGCCGCGGUACCCUGAC